This 496-nucleotide ribosomal RNA is filed under the name uncultured bacterium. RNAcentral's name for it is "partial 16S ribosomal RNA". It matches the Rfam family "Bacterial small subunit ribosomal RNA", at positions 28 to 506 of the family's 1533-position model. The record is from RNAcentral.
GAUGAACGCUGGCGGCGUGCCUAAUACAUGCAAGUCGAGCGAACAGACGAGGAGCUUGCUCCUCUGACGUUAGCGGCGGACGGGUGAGUAACACGUGGAUAACCUACCUAUAAGACUGGGAUAACUUCGGGAAACCGGAGCUAAUACCGGAUAAUAUAUUGAACCGCAUGGUUCAAUAGUGAAAGACGGUUUUGCUGUCACUUAUAGAUGGAUCCGCGCCGCAUUAGCUAGUUGGUAAGGUAACGGCUUACCAAGGCAACGAUGCGUAGCCGACCUGAGAGGGUGAUCGGCCACACUGGAACUGAGACACGGUCCAGACUCCUACGGGAGGCAGCAGUAGGGAAUCUUCCGCAAGGGGCGAAAGCCUGACGGAGCAACGCCGCGUGAGUGAUGAAGGUCUUCGGAUCGUAAAACUCUGUUAUUAGGGAAGAACAAAUGUGUAAGUAACUAUGCACGUCUUGACGGGACCUAAUCAGAAAGCCACGGCUAACUACGU